This 4478-nucleotide unclassified non-coding RNA is filed under the name Nilaparvata lugens (brown planthopper). RNAcentral's name for it is "nucleoredoxin, transcript variant X3". Lineage: Eukaryota; Metazoa; Arthropoda; Insecta; Hemiptera; Delphacidae. The record is from RNAcentral.
UUAUCGAUUUGAGUCUGAUCAAUAUGUGUUAUCCUAUGCAUAGAACAUGGAAUUUUAUUAAUACGGUUAGAUUAUACUAUGACCGGGUGUAUUUUGAACUUCUGUAGUAGGUGCGUUUCCACAGGUCAGAUUUGUGAAGGGAAUCACUGCAUGUUUUUUAAGGAAUGUUGAAAAUUUAUAGAGUAUAUUGAGAGCGUUUGAUACAGAGGUGUGGGUUAUGUCUCAAUGAACCUGCCAAAACGGAUUGUGUGAAUAUAAUGUAACUUAGAGCUCUAUGUCACUUAUAUUGAGAAAUUUGUAACUUUUGAGUCUGUCAACCACAAAAUUUAGCGUUAGACAGGCAGUUGAUUGGCUCAUCUAGCCGUGAAACGCACUCUGAAAUUACCUUGCAAACAUUGAUUUUUUUAUCAUUAAUACUUUUACUAUAAUAGGUUUUUUACUAUGGUAUAAUGUUUAUUGCAAUCUAGCACAAACUUAGGUAAUUAGCGAUAUAUUUUCGACGAAAACUGCUAAAAAUUUAAUUGUAGGAAUUUAAUAAAAAUUAAAUCAUUAAUGUUUUGGUUACCGUACUACUAACGGGAAAGUUUUUGUCAAUCCCGGAACUAAAUCAACUCUGAAGGUUUUUUUCUUUUUGGGGCUUCGUUUGAUCGAUAAAUUCUCCAGCAGCUGGAGAAUUCUCUGCGUUGUUUGGUCGUGAGGUCUAUUUUCAUGAUUUGCAGCCAUCUUCUGAUCUCAUCUGUGACGUAUGGAGCUCAAUGUAUAUCCGAAUUUGUUGCUAUGUGUUCUGCAUUUCUGCAUCUGCAAAGAACUUAUUCUGGACUAGCAGGUAACCCGUGCUUUGCACAGGGAAAAAUUUGGUGUUGUAAGUUGAUGUCCAGGAAACAUAAAAAAAAUUAAUAAUGAUUUAUUAUUUUGUUCAAAAUUACGUGGAUAAUCUUAUAAGAGUUGGAGCGUAGCGCUUACAUUCUCUAGGCAUUUUACAGAUAACCACCCGUAACUCCUACCAUUCUCUCUCGUAACGAAUUCACUUCGUUACAAUAGCCAUUUAACUUGACUUUGUUACAGACAAAGUCGGAGAAAUCAACUUGGAGAAUUAAUCGUUUACUCAAAACAGGUAUGAAACAGUAUACUAGAGGCCAACCGUCCUGAUCCCAGCUAGAAACAAUACUUCACUUGGUACUUGUCAUAUGGCUCCGGCUGACUCUCUGAUGCACUAAUAUUAUUUCUCACUUGCUUCAUUCGGAUACGCUGCAAGAAAAGAAGUGUAGUGGUCAUGAAACAAUGACUCUCCAGGUCAUUACUUAAUUUUAAUUGGUUUAAAUGUCACAUGAAUAGUGUAGUCCAGUCAAGUGUAUCGCUUUCGAAGAAAGAAUUGGAACUGAAGAAAAAUGGAAAAAAGGUUUUCUUUCUAAUUUAAAUUUGUAUAUGCGUAUCACAUUAUCGAUUCAGUGAUUUUCUAAAAAUGACAAUCGAUUUCCAUCCUUAAUAAAAAAACGUUUAUACUGUUCGUAUCCAAAAAGGCUUUUGUAACAAUGUAAGACUGAUAUGUUUCCAGCCAAGCUUAGUGAGUAAGAACACAGGUUUCUCCACAAUAAUUAUUAUUAUUUUCAUGUGAGAUUCUCAAUGGCAACGUGAAGUGGGGGUUUGACUACAGCCCCUCUACAUUGCUUGGGAUGUCCACAUUCCAGCCCCACAUCUGGAAUCUCUAUCUCGUCUCACUCCCUCUGUUCUACUGUUCUCUUUUCUGCUCUUACUCUCGCAUUAUUUCUCCCUCUUAUUUAUUAUUCUCUCUCGCUCAUCCGAGUUUUAUUUGGUUACACAACCCUCAACAUAUAGAGUGCUAUUGCUGGUGUUAUUGCAGGAAACUCUUGUUUCAUGCAACAAUGCAUUCCGCUGUGAUACAAAGUAGCCCUAGUCUUCCCCCCUCCCUAGAAUAGCUCACUCCAGAAAAAUCAAUAUUAGAACCACUUCCCAUGCUCUAUUAAGUUGUAUCAUUAAUGCACCAACAAAUAUUAUCAUUAAGGAACAGGCCUACCUGAUCUCUAAAAAAUAGAGCCAAAACUCAAAUCAUUGUUUGUCAUCCUAAAAACUUUUCAAUUCAUUUUAUCAGCUGCUCCAUUCUUGGCGCUAAAAUGAUGUUAUGAAUUUUGUAGCCAUAAGCUAAAUUUAUAAUGACAAUAAGACAGCAAGAUUAAAAAUAGACAUACCAUGUUUCUCCACUACACUAGGUAACCUUUUGAAAUCGUGUAGCUCAUACAGUUUUGACCUCAAACCGAUAUCUUCUAACUUUCUAGUAGGCAUAUCACCAUAAUUAAACAAAAAUCCUAAAUAUUGCUAUUAUAUAAAUCCUGUUAAGAAAUGCUGAUUUCAAGCCCUAGCCUAUAGGCACACAUGUUUUCCAAAGCAGCUUACUUGGAAUUUCCUAUAGCUACAUCCUCUUUAGCUAAUAUUUUUAAUUAAUUUUAUUGUUAACGUUUACUUGGUGCCCAUCCUUCCAUCGCUUAAUAUACUCAUCCAAUACCUUUUUAUAAAAUAAUAUUCAAACUUUUGCUAUCUAGCUCAGUUGUGUUUUACAAGAUACAAACCAUUGUUGCCAUGUAAGGGUUGUUGCAGGGGUAAGACCUCUGAGCUUCCUUUGUGUAGCGAGCUUUACGAUAAGGGGUAUUCGACAGCAGACAUCAGUUCAGUGAGUCCGCCGCACCCCGCACUAAUUUUCUCUGUUUCUCUCAUUAGAAUAAAUUAUUUGUUUACAUGAAGCAUGGAGGUUCACUACUGUUCCGUUUCUGAUUCAUUAGUGUCGUUUCACUGGUUCAGCUCAAUCACACCUACUACUGCUAAAACUAAAAACCGUUGAUCGUAUCUGUAAUAAUUAUUAUAAGAGUAGACGGUUUUUAUUAGUAGCAUUAUACUGACUAAAAGUAAGCUUAUUACUAGCUAAGCAUAUAUAAUUAUUGUGAGAGUAGGACUGUUUAGAAGCAGAUUUCGAGGCUUUUAUUGAGAAUGACAUAGUUUGGUGAUUGGUAUGACUAUGGCAUCAGCUUGGUACAUACGUGCUUUUGGCGACACACUGGUCGUGGCUGACGGUAGCACGGCUCGCACCAGCGAUCUACUCGCAGGUGGCACGUGUCAACACGUCAUCGGACUCUACUUCACACAGUUGACACGUGCUAACAACAACCUUCCAAAUAAAUUCACCAGUAAACUGUUGCAGUUCUAUGAACAUAUAAAUAGUGGCCGUACCGACGCAAAACGGUUUGAAGUCAUACAAGUGUUCUUAUUUCCCAGUCAGCAGAUCAAUUUGCACGACGAUUCAAUCAAGCAAGCGCUGCUCAACGUUCCCUGGUUUGCUAUGCCAUUACACCAACAAAUAAAGCAGAUUCGUCUAAUGCACAAGUAUGAGGCUAGAGAUUGCAGUCUAGUACUUAUUGAUGGUUCAACUGGCAAGGAGCUGACUCGUUCUGCCAAGGAACGUGUUCUAGAAGAUGCUGAAGGUCUGAGAUUCCCGUGGCCAACUUGUGCUCCUGCACCUGCCGCUCAAAAAAUUUCACACCUGCUGUCUUGCAUCUGCGAUCGGGGUCUCCUUCGUGGAGGAAGCGACUCAACAUCUCUAGAUCAUGAGACCUGUGAAGAUGCUUUACAAGAUUGUGUUAUUGGAGUAUAUUUUUCAGCACACUGGUGUCCACCUUGUAGAGCUUUCACACCACAAUUGAUAGACACUUACAAUGAGCUGAAGGAGAGAGGAAAGAAAUUUCAAGUCUUAUUUGUGAGCUCUGAUAGAAGUGUGGAAUCAUUCAAGUCAUAUUUAUCGAUUAUGCCUUGGCUAGCGUUGCCUUAUGAUGAAUCUGAAUUACGACAAGACCUGGCUAAACUAUUCGAUAUUCACGGUAUCCCGACGUUGGUUAUCCUGAAUACGGAUCAUUCACUGAUUACUAUUGAUGGCAGGGGAGAGAUUAACGAUGAUCCACUAGGAAAGAGGUUUCCAUGGGGAUCACCAAUUAGUCUAUUGACGGAGCGAACGGCCACAAGAUUAUAUAAUACACCAACAGUCGUUCUAUUUCUUGAAGGUGAAAAUGAAGAAGAUUUCAAUUUUGGCAAGUCUGUCCUCACAACAGCUGCUAGCAAUGCUCAAAUGCAGGCGGAUGGGUUUAACCUAUAUUCACCAAUAUUCUUCAUAGCAUUUGAUAGAGCGCCAGAAAAUUCAACCCCUAAAGCCGAGAAGGAAGACUGAAGGAUGCCGGGAGCAAAGGCCUGCUGCGGCUGAACUACGAAUCUAGCCGUCAGAGUUUCCUCUAGUCAGUGCUACGGGCUUCUACAUUCAGUUGGGCGCAAUUCAACACAUUAGUAACACAAGCGAAUGGCUCAGAGACUAUGUGGGUCUCGAUGAUGAUGCUCCACUAUUGACAAUCAUCGACUUACCUCUUGGCAGAAUAAGUGUUAUGGAAUACGGCGUUGAUAUUUCAGAAGAAUCUGUCAAUGAA